RNAcentral lists this ribosomal RNA (253 nucleotides) under uncultured bacterium. RNAcentral describes it as "partial 16S ribosomal RNA". It matches the Rfam family "Bacterial small subunit ribosomal RNA", at positions 524 to 776 of the family's 1533-position model. The record is from RNAcentral.
UACGUAGGGGGCGAGCGUUGUCCGGAAUCAUUGGGCGUAAAGAGCUCGUAGGCGGUUUGUCGCGUCGACUGUGAAAACCUGGGGCUUAACUCUGGGCCUGCAGUCGAUACGGGCAGACUUGAGUUCGGUAGGGGAGACUGGAAUUCCUGGUGUAGCGGUGAAAUGCGCAGAUAUCAGGAGGAACACCGGUGGCGAAGGCGGGUCUCUGGGCCGAUACUGACGCUGAGGAGCGAAAGCGUGGGGAGCGAACAGG